AAAAAAAAAAAAAGAUUAACCUAACAAACUCCGACGCCGCUGUCCGGGCGUUCCGUUUAGGGGCGCUGGCGCUGUAUCAAUGGUUGAUCAGCCGCAACUGCAGCUUCCGGCCGUUCUUGAGCGGCUUUUCUGCCUCGUUCCAGCUGCUGUCGUCUCUGCCGUCGCUGCCGCCACCGUCGUCCGUCCGUCCGUUCGUUCCUUGUCUCCCGCGCAAGGUAAGGUUUGGUUGCUGAAGCUCAUAAGCCGUUUAAUUUAUAUUUGGCUUUGGUUGAUCUUAUUACCAAAUUUAUUCUUGGCUUGCCUUUCCUGUUCUCUUUUUGUUUGUGGUGGUAGACUAGUAGUAUUCAAGUUAUCUCAUUCUUAUUGCGGAUAGGUUUGUCUCUGUGUUUUCAUUUAUUCUUCGCUUGCCUUUCGUAUGUCUUUGUAUUUUCAUUUGUAUUAUAAUGUGUCGAAACCUCCGAAUUCUUGGCACUGGUUUGUUUGCCUUUUUUUUUUUUUUUUUUUUCAAAGAUACAAAACCAGAACAGGGUGUUCGAAAGUGUGUACCCGUCAUAAAUUUUUGCUAUAAAAAAUUUGGUAAAUUAAUUUAAAAACAACAACAUGGUGGUGUAUGAAAAAUCAAACAUUAAGAUUUUCGAUUGUAACAGUAGGUACGUACAUUGAUUUGGGUCAAGAAUAAGAAGCAAUUACAGUACGGUUAUAGUACACAAUGGCAACAGUAGUAUCGAAAACUCUACGUCAAUCGUUUGCUUUUACAAAAUGGCCUGAUUUUCUUCUCCAUUUUCUGUCCGUUUAUGCUUGAUUGGUGGAGGAUAAUUGUUGCUGAUUUGGUUUCUUAACAUUGUAAGUGUUAUUGUCUUGAGUGUUGAUGGAGAUGGAUUAUUGAUCUAUUUAUGUUUUCUGUCAUUUGGAGAUGUAACUUCGGUAGCUUGGUACAUGUUAUUUAUUUUAUGUUGUUUGCUAACUUUUGUUUUAAGACUUAAGUACUUAUCUGCUUGGUAUUCAUUUGACUUUUGUUUUUUCAUUUACAUCAGUUUUUUUUUUUUAAAAAAAAUAAUCUGGGGCUGGAAUUUAAAAUUGAAUUAGGAUUUUUUUUUUUUUUUUGUGUAAUCCGAAUUGCAAUCUGAACUGAAAUUCAAACCCGAAUUUUUUUUCCUAAUCGAAAUUUAAUACAAAACUAAACUGAAUUUAAUUUGGUUUGAAUUUGAAUUUCAAAUUCAUUUGGGCUGAAUUUUGCAACUCGAAAGGAAAACUCGAUUUAUGCACCCCCAAUUUUUCACACCCACAUAUUAAAUAAUUCACUACAUAUAAAAAGAUUAUGAUAAUUGGUUAUAUCUAUCUAUAUAUAUAUAUAAAGUUAGGACUUGAGGAGGUGAUGUGGCAUCACCAUUUUGCUUCUUUGUAUAUUCUCUAUUAUCUAAUAAAUAGAGAUGUUUUUUUUAGAUUUGCUUUUUCAUCUUCUCAUAAUUAAUUUGAUUGUAUUUAACUCAUUUAAUAAAUAGUAACUUUAUUAAUAUAUAUCAUUCCUCAUCUUUUUAUAUUUUCUAUUAUAUAAAAUAUCUAAAAUAUUGGUGGAUAUUCUUUGUAAUUUUUUUUCUCUUUCUAUUUAAAUUCAACAAUAUGUAAUCAUUAAUAAUAAUUAAUUAUAAGUCUUUUGAAACAUUUAUUUAUUUUAUUAUGCUAGCAAUUAAACUUUAGUGGUAUAAAAUACAUGAAUUAAUCUAUCUAUCUAUCUAUACAUAUAUAUAAAGUUGGGACUACAAGAGGUGAUGUAGCAUCACCAUUUCUCAUAAUUUCAUAUUGUCUAUUAUUUAAUAAAUUGGUUGAAAUUAAAAAAUAAUUACAUUACAAAAUAUUAAAAUAGAAAAUAAUUAUUAGAUUAUAAAUUAUUACAUGUCUUUUCCUCUUUCUAUUUAAAUUCAACAAUAUGUAACCAUUAAUAAUAAUUAAUUAUAAGUCUUGAAACAUUCAUUUAUUUUAUUAUGCCAACAAUUAAAUUUUAGUGGCUUAAAUAUAUCAAUUAAUUAAUAUAGGAAGGAAGGUUCCUUCAUCUUCCCUCAACAAUGCCAUUAGAGCCUAAUUUUAAUGUCAUAAUCUCAUUUUUAAUUAUUUAAUCUUUUGUUUAGUGCCUUUUGGCUUUUUUAAACUCUAUAAAUAUUAAGUAGUUAAGAUUUGUGGCAUCAUUAUUUCUCAUCUUUUUUUAUUCUCUAUUAUCUAAUAUAUUGGUUGAGAUUAAAAAAUAAUUACAUUACAAAAUAUUAAAAAUAGAAAAUAAUUAAUAGAUUACAAAAGAUUACAUGUCUCUUCCUCUUUCUAUUUAAAUUCAACAAUAUGUAACCAUUAAUAUAAAUUAAUUAAAAGUUUUGAAACAUUCAUUUAUUUUAUUAAGCCAACAACUAAAUUUUAGUGGUUUAAAAUACAUCAACUAAUUAAUAUAGGAAGGAAUGUUCCUUCAUCUUCCCUCACCAAUGCCAUUAGGACCUAAUUUUAAUGUCAUAAUCCUAUAUUUAAUUAUGCAACUUUUUAUUUAGUGUCUUUUGGCUUCUUCAAACUCUGUAAAUAUUAAGCAUUUAAGAUUUGUUAUGUUUAAGUUUUUUUUUUUAUUAUUUAACGAACAUCCUCUUUAAAAAUGUUAUUGUGUUUUUAUUUUUUGACUUAUUUAAAUUUUUAGUAUUGUGUGCUUCAUUGAGUACUCUUUUCUUCAUGAGUUAAACAAUGAUAAAGAUAGUUGGAUGAUAAGGGUUAGGCUUUGUAAGAUGUGGGAGUCUGUUAAUACCAAAAAAAAUAGAGAGUUGAUUAGUAUGAACAUGAUUGUUAUUGAUGAAAAGGUUGUGUACACUUAACUAUACACAUUAAUAUAUUUUUUUAAUGUUAACAAAAAAAUAAUAAACUUUCAUAAAUAACAUUAGUUUUCUAAGGCUGCGUCAUCUUAAAAAAAAAAUUCAUAUUUUUUAUCAGUUUCAUCGAAUGCAAAGUAAUAAAAAAAGAUAAUACUAAAUUCUUUUUUUAAAACCGCACGAAGUGCGGUUCUAUUUCCUAGUUUUUAUAUAUUUGCAACUCCCACCACUUGCUGUUAAAUCUUAGGUAAUUAAACUUGCUUAGCAAAGUCGACAUCUCCUUCUUUGAUAUUAAUUAUUAAAGCGUGUCUAUAGAAUAGAUUAGGUCCGUUAGGAUGAGAAAGACAUAAAGGGUUAGUUGUUUUAGACAAAAAGCCCGACAUUGAUUGUCACUAUUGCUUCCUCUUCAAUUCGCAAUUCAUGACACACUGCUUGUGCUUGCAUACGGUUUAGUUCAUCAAGCCGCUGAAGUACAAUUUGUAAGCCCUUUAUAUAACGAUCAAGUUACCAAUUCUUAGACUGCAACCAAGCAUGCAAAUUAUAACUUGCAUGCAAUACUAAUUAGCAUGCAAUCUUCACAAAUCAGCCAGCCUUGUCCAUUAUACUUGAUCUCUGUAAUCCAAGCUUGUAGGUCUCCAUUAGUUUACUUCCUAAAUAACUCCUUGUAUGCUUCCAGAUCUUCAUUAAACCCAAUAUAAUUAGACCAACUAGUUUAAUUCCUAUUUCCUAGAUAGACUUGACGUGCCAAAGAUCUUACUGUGGAUCGUUCUGUAGCUCAAGGUGGCAUUCAAUUAGUCAAAGGAUAGGAUUAUUAUUUCUAACUAGGUUAUCAAUCACUGUACAUGUAAGGAGGUAAUGUUAACGUGUUAAUGACACGACUCAAAGUCGGUUGCAUGGUCAAGAAAUCUCAAUAGUAUUUUAUGUAAACUUGUCAAAAAUUCUUACUAUGGAUUAUUAACCUAAUCAAUAAUUCUCGAUCUUAUAUUAUGUCCGUGAUUGAAAUUUCUCUUUUAUUCCGGAACCGUUGUAUAAUAAUUCAAUUACAUUGAUUCAUUUAAGUAAUAGAAUCAAUAUUAUACAAUGUAUUUGUUUUCAUAUUAAACAAAUAAUUGAUUAUUUUGAAAAUAUAAUUAAUUAUUAGCUUCAUUCGUGUGAUAAAGUAUAAGUAAUUUUACAUAAUCUCAAAUUUGCAUAUAGAAAUUUAUUAUUUUGAAAAUAUUAUUUAUAAACUCUAUAAUGAAUUUAAAUGACUAUCCAUACAUUUAUUUAUUUUUCAUUUUAAUAUUGUCAAAAUUUAUUAAAAAUCUAAUUGGUAUUUUAAGUAAAUGGAAGUGGAGAGUAUUUUAGCAAGUUAAAAUAAUCCAUCCAUAUUUUUAAUAUAUAAAUAUGUUCAUUUACUAAAUUACUUUUGAUGAUAAAAUAUUUUAACAGAUCAAUGUGUCAACAUUUUGAAACUUAAACUUUUUGUAUUCUUUUAAUAAACAUAUUAGACCACAUCGUUAAUAAUCAAAUAAUAACAUCCAAUCUUUUGGAAUAACAUUUGCAACUCUUGGAUUGGAUCCAAUGGUUGGCUCACAAAAAGACAAAAAAAUGGGUAUGAAACCUUUUUAGUUCAAACAAAUAUGGUAUAACUUUAGAUGAAAAAUUUUAAGUACAUAAAUUAGUACAAAAUAAAGUAUGGAUUCAACAUUUUAUGGCUUUAUCAAAUCCCCAAUUUAUUUCACGCGGACAUCUUAUGAGAUAAAUUAACUAAAUAUUUUACAUGUGUGUUCCAAUCUAGGAUCUUAGACUUUGUAAAAGUUUGGGAAAGUUGUCAGUGCGAUUUAAUAGCUUUCUUGGACUUUAAUAAAGUUCAGGAUCCUGAACCAGAUCAACACUAUACAUAUACAGUUAAACUUAAUUGUGCUUAUCGCAAUUGAUAGGAAAUCAGCUACAAAUUCGGUUUUUUAAAACGCUUAAAGGAAUUCCCCAAAACAACAAAGAUUUUUUUUUAGUCCAUUGAGGCAAGGAACUUAAGAAUUAAUGUUGUUACCUUGUAGUAUCAUCAGUUCGUCAAUUUUGUACGGGUGCUGCAGCGCCUUAAUUGAUCAUCAGAGGAAUUAAUCCUUUAAAGCUAAAGCAGAAACAUCAAAACUUCAUUCUAUUCUAUUAACGUUGGAUAAAUUGUGUGGAUUAAAUAAAGAAAUUGAUUUUUCUUGCCUUAUGAAUGGUAGUUGUGCAUUUUUGAGGAAGAGAGUGAAUGUUCUUGCCUUACGAACGGUGAUUGUACAUUUUUUAGAAACUGGCUGGCUGGCUAUUGUCCCGCCCUCACUGUUGUGGGCUGGAAAGGCCACAGAGUACCUUAGUUCAGGGGUUGAUUUGGGCUUUUACGUGUCCCAACGUACAUAGGAAUAAUAAUAAUAAUAAUAAUAAUUCAUACUAAUUAUAUAUAUUAUAAAUUACGGUUUAACUUAAUUUAAACUCACACCAUUCGAUUGAGGGUCAUGCUAUUAUAACAGAUUGUAUGAAGUUUAUAGCCUUAAAUUUUCAGGAAUACAACAUUUAUUUUUUCUGAAUUUUUUUAAACAUAUAAUCAAUGAAAUAAAGAUGGAAUCAAGUCACUCACUCAAUAACCUCUAAAUAAUAUCAUAACAUAAAUAAAUAAUUUUUUUUUUCGAAAUGAAUUUUAUUAAUCUUAAGAGACAGUCAACAUCGGACAUAACCAUGGAGGUGGAACAGUCCUCCACUCUCCAGGAUCUGACAUAGAACCCCCCACCCUAACCACAUUAUGGGCAGCGAAGUUCGCAGAUCUACGCACAAAAAAGAAUCUCACUUCUCCAAUUAGCUGAGCUACAGUUUGACAAUCCGCAAUAAUUAACCCAAAAUCGUUAGGACUAGUGUUUGGAGUAAUUAAGGCAGAAUAAACAUUCAGGCAAUCUAUUUCAACAAUAAUCUUCGACAACUGUAGGUUCUUGAUCCAGCUCAGAGCUUCACGAACAUCCAAAGCUUUAGCCUCACGAAGAUGAAACAAGCCAGGAAAUCUUUGACACUUAGCCGCAAUGAAAGCACCUCCAGAAUCUCUAAUCACUCCUCCAAAGCUAUAUCGACUUUGAGAGCUGAAUACCCCUGCAUCCACAUUACACUUUAACCAACCCUGAGGGGUAGGGAUGGCAAUGGGGUGGGGUGGGGGUGGGGAGGCCUACCCAAUUCCCCACCCCGUUAGAAAUUUUUGCCUCCAUUCCCCAUCCCAUUCCCCAAUAAAUUUAGUGGGGUGGGGAUGGAGAAUCCCCAUGUGAGGAAUGAUUUCUCCAUCCCCACCCCAUUCCCCAUUUAUCUAUUUUAUAAUAUGUAUAAAUAUAUUAUUUUAGUAAGUUAAAAAUUAGAGACUUAAAAUAAAAUCAUCAUCAUAUUAUAAAGUAUUUAAAUUCUUUUAAAAAAAUAUCUAAAAGUUUGAAACAAUAUCUUAAAAUGAUAUUAAAAGUGAAAAAUAUUUAAAGAGCGUAGUACCUUAAAAGAGAAAAGAAAAUAUAACAACGUUUCAGAGUUGAAAAAUAUUAUAAGAUUUUCUUUCAUUCAUAUCUUGUUUAUAUUGCAUAAAAAUUUAAAAAAAAAUUAUUAAUUUACAUUAUAAUUGAUAAAAUAAAAAUUAUUAAAUAAGAAUUAAAAACAUAUUUAUAUAUAAUGGGGAUUGGGGUGGGGGUGGGGUGGGGAGUACAAAACCAAACCUCACCCCAUUAAGAAUUUGGGGAUUAUUUUCCCCCACUCCCCACCCCAUUCCCCAAAAAUUAUUCAAAAUUUUCCCCAUUUGGGGUGGGGCUCCAUGGGGCCCCAAACCCGUGGAGAAUUUUGCCAUCCCUACUGAGGGGGCUUACCCCAACACACCGAGCCAUGGCCCAACUGCUCUUGCUCUUGCUCAACAAUGAUAAAGUUCUUCCUCUUAGCUUCCUGCCAACUGAACAGAUAAUGUCCAGCAGCAUUUACUAGACUUUGGGCAUUACUACUAUAUCCAUUCCACACUUUAUCAUUCCGAUUAAGCCAAAGCCGCCAACACACCAUUACAACUAGCUUGCAAUCUUCCUUACGACAUCGAGUAAAGAUUUGCUCCAUCCAUUCAACAAAAGAAGAGCAUCUCCCACCCACACUAAGAGAAGACAGAAGCCAGCAAGAUUUCACCAACACACAUUCAACCAAACAGUGAAAAACUUACUCAUUAACAACACUACAAAUGGGGCAAAUAGGUGAAACAUUGACCUUCCUAGACAAAAGAUUAUCUGCAAUAGGCAAAAUGUUCUUUAAAGCAUGCCAAAGGAAUUGUUUAACCUUACCUGGAGCCUCCAGACCCCAUAAGAACUUCCACACCUUACUGUUUGGAACAUUAGAGACAUAAUUUAGCAAAUUGUAGCAGCUCUGACAGUAAAUUCACCAUUUGGAUCGGCAAGCCAAAACCAACGAUCAUUAUCUUGUCGAGUGUUGAGAGGUACCUGUAAAAUCAGAGCAGCAUCCCUGGUAUUAAACACAUCCACAACUAAAUCGUUGUCCCAUCGCCUUUGUCCUAGAGCCAUAAGAUAGUUUACGGUAACUGUUGCAAUAUUCUCAGCCAACUCAGUGGUAAUAAAGCCAUUAUCGGCAUCAUGACGCCAUGGGUCCUUGUUAAUUUGAACCUGCUGUCCACUCCCAAUUUUUAUGCGACUGCCCUUAACUACGACAUGCUUGGCAACCAUAAUUGAUCUCCAGGUGUAGCUUGGAUUAAAGCCUAUGGUUGCAUCAACAAAAGAUGAUCUAGGAUAGUAUCGAGCCUUGAGAAUCCGAGCUACCAAAGAGUUCGGAUUAGUAAUGAGCUUCCAGCAUUGUUUACCUAAUAUGGCAAUGUUAAAAUCAUGAAGCCUUUUAAAUCCAACACCUCCCAUUGACUUUGGUUUACACAUUAAAUCCCAUCGAAGCCAAUGAAUUCCUCGCCCACCAUUACGAGUAGUUCCCCACCAAAAAGCAUUCAUCAUAAGCUCUAACUCUUUACAUAAAUCAAGAGGUAGCAAAUAGAUAUUCAUAGCAUAAUUUGGGAUUGCCUGAGCUACUGUUUUUAGCAUAAUUUCCUUCCUAGCCUUACUUAGGAAUUUCUGAUUCCAACCCUGAAGCCGCUGCCAGACCUUCUCUUUGAUAAAAGCAAAAACUGCACUCUUCUUUCUUCCAAUCAAAGACAGCAAACCCAAAUAGGUUCCAUGAUUACUAGUGGCCAAAACUUCUAGGAUUCCACACACUUGGCGUAUAGAAACCUCAUCCAUGUUUGCACUGAAGGAGACUACCGAUUUAUUAUAGUUCACCUGCUACCCAGAUGCAGCCCUAUAAAUGGCCAGCAGACUCUUCAUUAUUCGAGUUUCAGUGUGGGUGGCUUUAAAGAAGAGAAAACAAUCAUCAGCAAAAAAUAAAUGAGAAACAGUAGGGACACUUCUUGCCACUUUAACCCCAUGUAUGAGUCUUGCCCUUUCUCGAUUCCGAAUCAAAGAACUGAGCCCCUCCGCACAAAUAAUAAAUAAGUAAGGAGACAAUGGGUCCCCUUGUCGAAGACCCCGACUUGGAACUAUUGGCCCUUCUUCCUCCCUAUUUCUAAUCACAGUAGAGACACACAUCAUAAUAAGUGCAACCCAACCCUCAUCGAAUCCCAUCCGCAGCAUCAUAGACUUCAGAAACAACCAUUCAAUGCAAUCACAGGCUUUAGACAUGUCUAUCUUAAGCGCAGUUAUCCCAGUCUUGCCUUGUUUCUUUCGCUUCAAAUAAUGGACAAUUUCGGUCGAAAUGAGGAUGUUGUCAGUGAUCGCCCUACCCAGAACAAACGCGCUCUACGAUUCUGAGAUAACCGAAUCCAACACCAACUUCAUCGUAUUCGCAAGCAUCUUAGCAACUAUUUUGUAUAACACAUUACACAAUGCAAUAGGGUGCAUAUCUGUCAGACUUUCAGGUUGUGUCUUCUUAGGAAUCAAUACAAUUAAAGUAUCAUUUAGCCCAGCAGGGAGAGCCCGAUUUGUAAUAUAAUUUAGACAAGCAUCCAUAACAUCUUGUUCAACUAUAUGCCAAUAUUUUUGGUAAAAUGCAGGGGUCAUGCCAUCCGGCCCCGGGGAUUUAUCUGGGUGCAUGCUAAACAAAGCAUCCUUAACAUCAAUAGCUGUGAAAGGCUCCAGCAACAACUGAUUAUGCAGUGCAGAAAUGCUAGGCUCAAUACAAGAUAAAAUUGGUUCACAGAUGCACCCACUAGAGGAAAAUAAAUUCUGAAAAUACUCAGUGAUUAGUUCAUCAAGCUCACAAGGUUUCAAACACCACAUACCCUGGUUAUUCCGCAGUUUCUCAAUGUUAUUUUUCUUCUUCCUCAUUGAAGCUGUUGCAUGGAAAAACCGAAAGUUCAUAUCACCCUCCUUUAGCCAAAGAGUCUUGGCUCUCUGUUUCCAAUAAACUUCAUGGCUGUGGAGCAAUUCAUUGUAUUGUUUUUUAACUUCAGUAAAGGCUUCC
RNAcentral lists this long non-coding RNA (9314 nucleotides) under Citrus maxima (pomelo). RNAcentral's name for it is "long non-coding RNA (CMAX_LNC000996)". The record is from RNAcentral. Lineage: Eukaryota; Viridiplantae; Streptophyta; Magnoliopsida; Sapindales; Rutaceae.